Microcebus murinus (gray mouse lemur) is the source of this 1545-nucleotide non-coding RNA. The record is from RefSeq and is a predicted model, not a curated record. NCBI's taxonomy places the organism in Eukaryota, Metazoa, Chordata, Mammalia, Primates, Cheirogaleidae.
AGAACAGCUAUUACAUAUCUGGACUCGGUCUGUGCAAACCACUUCAAGCCAUGGCAAAGGAGGCGGCCUUCCAGCCUUGCGCCCGUCGAAGAUAAUGAGUUCUCACUACGUGCUAGUCCUGCAGCGAGGCUCUUUCAGGACACAAGCAGAAUAAAGGCAUGGCCUGCCCUCUGAGAGUCUGUAAUGCCAUCAUGAGCUGCCCUGUCACAACCUCUGUCUUUCCAAGUUAAAGAAUUGAUGCUCCUAUUCUGCUGCUCCAUGUUGGUAUCUGUGGAGAGGAGGGCUAGACAUCUAAACUUGCUGGCUGAAAACCAAUACAUCUUUCAAGUAUUAUUGAGAUCUGCAACAUGCUCGUCACUGUAGGAAGGAAGCAGAAAGAGAGGUCCCAUCUGCAAGGACACAGUUACCUGCUUUGGAAUGCACAGAAAAACAUGUCCACUUGCCUUCCACUGGUAUUCCUUGCAGCCAAGCCUCAGAGGCAUGGGUUGUGGUUUCCAGAUGCACAGCAAACAUCAGAAAGCAACUCUAAGGACCCAGUGUGCUCCGGGGGCCCCAUCCUGUCCCAGUGAGUCCCAAAGCAGCCCUCUUCAGUGGUGGGAAUGUGACAGGGGAGGAAGGCAUUGUUAGGUCCCCCAGCUGACAGUCCCUCACUUUGCCUCCUGGAUGUCUCUGCUUGAGCCUGGAGGAAGACGGCUAAACAUGGACAAGGAGAAUGGGAGCGGUCUGUGAUCAGAAGCAAAGUAGCUCAGCACGUUGAAGCAGCUCACACUUUCCGUAGCAGAACUGAUGAAGCGUCAUAAUUCAUCCUCCCCUUGGCUCAGAGCCCUCCUUAAGACUUCCAGGGAGGAAGCUUCCCAGAGGAAGGAAGGGAAGACAGAGGGAAGCUUGGACAAUUCCCACAGUAAGACGGUGCUGGCCUGGGACUGGGAGGGCAGAGCCUGAAGGUUGGCUGCUGAGCCGGGCAGGGAAGGCUGGGUGCUUUGGGGCCAAAGUGCUUGUUAUGAGAAAUUUCUUAAUGACUGUAAGUCCCCAGGGAGGCACGUGAGCACUGCCUGGCGCCAGCCGUGCUUGCACGGGGCUCGUGUCCAAGUGGAAAACAUGUCGGGGGUGAGUGAGGAGAGGGAGAAGGGACUGUGUGGCUACUGAAGGUGACGGACAGCCUUGGAACAGCAAAUCGGGCUCCUGUGGGAUUGGGUUUUACUGCAAUGGGUUACAAAGAUGAGUGACUUUCAGGUGAGAAAGAAUCUUAGUUCCUGGUUUCUAGAACAAAGCUUUUUCAUGGUUCUUAGUGAGUUUCAUUUGUAUUUUCCACCUGCAGACCUUUGCUCAUGACACUUCUUCCUUCUUUCCACAUGUCCAAAUCCUACUAGGCCAGCUCAGGCCUCACCAGCUCUGUGAAGUCACCCCUGAAAGUCUAACUUGAAGUCUCCCUUCUCCAACCUGCUGACCUGCCGUAGGCAGAGGUGACGUUAGUCUGAGAUUCUCCAACAGAGAUGUGUGUUUAGGAGGAACAUUUGUCUGCUCAGAGCCUUGAAGUUACUCAAA